UCGGGGGAUCAAGUUAGAGCCGUCGGAGUGGCCUAUAUUUAAAGGGUUUGGUUCUUGGAUAAACUAAACUAAUAAGGUGAUCAAGCAGCUGAUUAGACAAAAAGUACUCCAACUACUCCAACCAGACGUUGUACACAUAUGGGUCCCCUCGUACUUGUUGUCCUCCUGACCCUUUGCUGCGCCACCAUCAUCUUCAUGGUUGUGUGCUUCAUCUGCAACGCACCAUAAGAUGAUAAUGAAGAUCGAGGAGCUGAUGGUCAUGGAGGAGCUAGCGGUGAUGGUGUGAUGGUGAUAGAGAUGCCAACUACUCGGUUUGAGGAGGAAGAAGCCAACGGAUUGAGCGCACACUGAUUGUACCUGGAUUUGUGUGGGGUUUAAAACCUUUUAGGGAGUGCUGAUAGCCUUUCAAGGCCAACCAAUAGUUAAUUAUAACAUGCUUAUUUUUCUGUUUUCCUGUUAGAGUUCAAAGCCAAAUGUUACUUAUGUUUAAAUUGAAUGAUGAUUUUGAGUAAUAUAUAUUAAAUU
This is a long non-coding RNA of Nymphaea colorata (pocket water lily), 525 nucleotides long. RefSeq lists it as uncharacterized. NCBI's taxonomy places the organism in Eukaryota, Viridiplantae, Streptophyta, Magnoliopsida, Nymphaeales, Nymphaeaceae. The record is from RefSeq and is a predicted model, not a curated record. The transcript has 3 exons.